UACGUAGGGUGCGAGCGUUAAUCGGAAUUACUGGGCGUAAAGCGUGCGCAGGCGGCUUUGCAAGACAGAUGUGAAAUCCCCGGGCUCAACCUGGGAACUGCAUUUGUGACUGUAUAGCUAGAGUACGGUAGAGGGGGAUGGAAUUCCGCGUGUAGCAGUGAAAUGCGGAGAUAUGCGGAGGAACACCGAUGGCGAAGGCAAUCCCCUGGACCUGUACUGACGCUCAUGCACGAAAGCGUGGGGAGCAAACAGG
This 253-nucleotide ribosomal RNA is filed under the name uncultured bacterium. RNAcentral describes it as "partial 16S ribosomal RNA". It matches the Rfam family "Bacterial small subunit ribosomal RNA", at positions 524 to 776 of the family's 1533-position model. The record is from RNAcentral.